RNAcentral lists this ribosomal RNA (253 nucleotides) under uncultured bacterium. RNAcentral describes it as "partial 16S ribosomal RNA". It matches the Rfam family "Bacterial small subunit ribosomal RNA", at positions 524 to 776 of the family's 1533-position model. The record is from RNAcentral.
UACGUAGGGGGCUAGCGUUGUCCGGAAUCAUUGGGCGUAAAGAGCGUGUAGGCGGUCCGGUAAGUCCGCUGUGAAAGUCGGGGGCUCAACCCUCGAAUGCCGGUGGAUACUGUCGGGCUAGAGUGCGGAAGAGGCGAGUGGAAUUCCUGGUGUAGCGGUGAAAUGCGCAGAUAUCAGGAGGAACACCUAUUGCGAAGGCAGCUCGCUGGGAAGUUACUGACGCUGAGACGCGAAAGCGUGGGGAGCAAACAGG